GGGCCUAUAGCUCAGUUGUUUAGAGCACCUGACUCAUAAUCAGGGGGUGCCUGGUUCGAGCCCAGGUGGGCCCA
RNAcentral lists this transfer RNA (74 nucleotides) under Bacteroidia bacterium. RNAcentral describes it as "tRNA-Ile". It matches the Rfam family "tRNA". Rfam says of the family: Transfer RNA (tRNA) molecules are approximately 80 nucleotides in length. Their secondary structure includes four short double-helical elements and three loops (D, anti-codon, and T loops). Further hydrogen bonds mediate the characteristic L-shaped molecular structure. tRNAs have two regions of fundamental functional importance: the anti-codon, which is responsible for specific mRNA codon recognition, and the 3' end, to which the tRNAs corresponding amino acid is attached (by aminoacyl-tRNA synthetases). tRNAs cope with the degeneracy of the genetic code in two manners: having more than one tRNA (with a specific anti-codon) for a particular amino acid; and 'wobble' base-pairing, i.e. permitting non-standard base-pairing at the 3rd anti-codon position. The record is from RNAcentral. Lineage: Bacteria; Pseudomonadati; Bacteroidota; Bacteroidia.